Molecule: transfer RNA, 73 nt
Filed under: Methylococcaceae bacterium
Lineage: Bacteria; Pseudomonadati; Pseudomonadota; Gammaproteobacteria; Methylococcales; Methylococcaceae
Also listed under: 1 other name
Description: tRNA-Met
Rfam family: tRNA
About the family: Transfer RNA (tRNA) molecules are approximately 80 nucleotides in length. Their secondary structure includes four short double-helical elements and three loops (D, anti-codon, and T loops). Further hydrogen bonds mediate the characteristic L-shaped molecular structure. tRNAs have two regions of fundamental functional importance: the anti-codon, which is responsible for specific mRNA codon recognition, and the 3' end, to which the tRNAs corresponding amino acid is attached (by aminoacyl-tRNA synthetases). tRNAs cope with the degeneracy of the genetic code in two manners: having more than one tRNA (with a specific anti-codon) for a particular amino acid; and 'wobble' base-pairing, i.e. permitting non-standard base-pairing at the 3rd anti-codon position.
Source: RNAcentral
CGCGGGGUGGAGCAGCUUGGUAGCUCGUCGGGCUCAUAACCCGAAGGUCGUUGGUUCAAAUCCAGCCCCCGCA